GGAAAAGAAACCAACAGGGAUUGCCUCAGUAACGGCGAGUGAAGCGGCAAAAGCUCAAAUUUGAAAUCUAGCACCUUCGGUGUUUGAGUUGUAAUUUGAAGAUGGUAACCUUGGGUUUGGCUCUUGUCUAUGUUCCUUGGAACAGGACGUCAUAGAGGGUGAGAAUCCCGUCUGAUGAGAUGCCCAUUCCUAUGUAAGGUGCUAUCGAAGAGUCGAGUUGUUUGGGAAUGCAGCUCUAAGUGGGUGGUAAAUUCCAUCUAAAGCUAAAUAUUGGCGAGAGACCGAUAGCGAACAAGUACAGUGAUGGAAAGAUGAAAAGAACUUUGAAAAGAGAGUGAAAAAGUACGUGAAAUUGUUGAAAGGGAAGGGCAUUAGAUCAGACUUGGUGUUUUACGAUUAUCUUCUCUUCUUGAGUUGUGCACUCGUAUUUCACUGGGCCAGCAUCGAUUCGGAUGGCAAGAUAAUGGCAGUUGAAUGUGGCUUCACUUCGGUGGAGUGUUAUAGCUUCUGCUGAUAUUGCCUGUCUGGAUCGAGGGCUGCGUCUUUUGACUAGGAUGCUGGCGUAAUGAUCUAAUGCCGCCCGUCUU
This 587-nucleotide ribosomal RNA is filed under the name Hansenula anomala. RNAcentral describes it as "eukaryotic LSU rRNA". It matches the Rfam family "Eukaryotic large subunit ribosomal RNA", at positions 55 to 655 of the family's 3401-position model. Lineage: Eukaryota; Fungi; Ascomycota; Saccharomycetes; Phaffomycetales; Wickerhamomycetaceae. The record is from RNAcentral.